UAAUGAAAAUUAAAUAAUUUGAAACUAAUUAAUUCACUGAUUGAACUAAUCGGUGUUUAAUUUAAAUAAUGAAAACUUUUAUUCGUCGCCAUCUAGCGGCCAAGGUAAGGAAAGUAAUAGUAAAGGUAAACAAAUAGAUUGAAAGCAAAAAGUCAAAAACUGCAAAAGUGGUGGGGAGUCGAUAAUACGAAUUAAGUGUUAAAUGCUUACUCUUCAUUUUAUUAUAAAAUGUCAGUGCAAUUAUUUUACCUAUGAAGAGUUUGCUCUCAUGCAACCACAUGUCCACGACUGGUAAACGUCCUUCUAAUAAGACGUUGUUUUGAUGAGCUAUCGUUCUAGUCUUAAACCUUUGAAUAAUGUGCACGAUUAAACUAUUAUUAAAAUCUAGAUUACGCUUGAAAAAGGGUUUUCUUAACCUGGACCUCAUAUGGAAAGCUCUGCUAAAAUUUUCAUCCUUGUCAGACAAUUUUAUGACCUAUGCAAAGGUUUCAACAACCACAUUGAAGAUUUUCGAAGGGAAGCUGUGAAUCAAGAAAACUGUAAAAUCAAAUGGCAGCUGUGCGAGAAAGCUCUUGCCCAAUGUAUCAAUGUAGAAUCCUACCUUGAUGGAAUCAAUUACAACUGUGCCGUUCUGGGAAAACGUUUUUAACUCAUGUCAAGUCUUUCCUGAGGAGAAAAGACCCUAGCGGCAUUGGCUUUGCUAUUCGCCAUUCACAGGUUUGUUGUUUUUUUUUCCCUUCGCCACCUUGAUGACAAGGUUCUUUCAAGUUAUGUCUAGUCAUGUCUUUGAUUGAAUGACAUCAGUAACGUAAUUAAUUCUUUCUAUGUAUUUUUCUUUCAAUUUUCACGGUAUAAGCUAUCCCCUAUGAUCUUACUGGAUGACAUCGACGCAUCAUUGGACAACACAAUCAUCAGAAAAGUGGCUCAGUUCUGGCUCACCACAGAUCUUAAAACCACUCUAACAAAUCUCUACUCUUUACUGCAGAUACUUAUUACUCCUUCUAGGUUACAUUUUGAGAAAGCACUUUGAUUUUUGCCUAUUAACAAUAUAUUGAAUUUCUUUUUUAAAGUGACGAAAUUAAAAUGUAGACAUCAGACAGUUGGAAACGGAAAUUGCCAGAGAAGACAUAACAGAUAAAACAACAAGAAUUUGGGAAGAUUGAGAGACGUAAAGAAAAAGCAGAGAUUGAAAACCAAAUCCGGCAUAGGCAGUGGAAGAGCAGACAAAACUACUACACGAGCUGACUAACGAAGUCAAACAAUCCAAGAACCAGAUUAAUACGCUACGAAAUAACUUGGAAGAUAUCUCAAGAAAUCAAGUCAUCGAAGUGCACAAAGAAAUUCCAACUCAUGGAAGUCUUGAAGCCAGUUUGAAUGUUGUUGACAUUUUGGAAAAGAAAUCGGGAGCUAUGAUAGUCACGAAUGUGGAGGUCGUGGACGAGUCGGGUGAUAAGGUUAUUUCGCCCAAUUGUCUAGUUUCCUAGUCGGUGAUGGCGGUUUUGGUGGCAAACGUAACUCUGAGCACAUUGUUCCACAUGUCGAUCCUCCCAAGCGUAAACCCGACGCCUCCUUGACUUACAAGACUUCAAUCGACCAAGUGAGGAGUCA
This is a long non-coding RNA of Daphnia pulex (common water flea), 1608 nucleotides long. RefSeq lists it as uncharacterized. Lineage: Eukaryota; Metazoa; Arthropoda; Branchiopoda; Diplostraca; Daphniidae. The transcript has 3 exons. The record is from RefSeq and is a predicted model, not a curated record.